This is a non-coding RNA of Chiloscyllium plagiosum (whitespotted bambooshark), 4909 nucleotides long. The record is from RefSeq and is a predicted model, not a curated record. NCBI's taxonomy places the organism in Eukaryota, Metazoa, Chordata, Chondrichthyes, Orectolobiformes, Hemiscylliidae.
GUGGAGGUUGGGUGAUUGGGAAAUCUGCUAAAACAUUUCAAAGUCCGCAGCUGCUGUGCACUGAGCAGUCGUACCGUCGUUAACUCGGCAUGUCAUCUCCGGAAAGACUGAGGGUGGAAAGAUUAGUCUCGGCUUAUCGCUUGUUGGCCAGUUUAAAACUACAGCCUCGCCGUUAAUCGUUUAUAUUAAUCAGUGGGAAUGAUCAUCUAUAAAAUCUCAACUGAACUAGCGGGAUAAGUACAAGACCUUUGCUUCCUCACACUCAGCUCGGAUUGGAUAUUUUGAGAUUCCCCCAUGUCUAUUCUUUUUGCGAUAACAGGUCUACGACUCAGUUAACAGCGAAAACUGUGAGACUAAACAUCCCAAAGAGUUCCUUUUCAGUUCUUAAAAAUAUGAGCUUUUUUUUCUUGUUCAACCCUUUCCGGUAACCUCGAAUAGUCAGGCUAUCAACAAGGAUUUUCUUCGAGGUCUGGACCUGGAUUUUCUUUUAAAAUAUAGAAAUCUGAAGCUCAAGGUCGUCAUUGGAGAGUUUUCACAAAAAAAAGUCAGCUUAAGCGAUGGGGGAAUCCCAUCACCAGCAGGUUCCCUCGAUCUGAAUAAAUCUCUUCUCAAUUAAUCGAAACAGUUAAAUGAGCAUUUUAAAUUGGCGGCUACCUAAGGUACGCCCUGCUCUAUAUUGGUAAGAAGUGCAAUUGGAUUACCCAAGUGAACGUGUUACAUAGUCCACUGUAAUUUUUACCACGCAUGCAUAUUAUAUACAAAGUAAAGUCAUCCAUCUGAGAGGCCCUAUAAGACUUCAGAGCAGUAAUUUCUGUAAUGUCGUUGAUCCACCUCCACGAAAUAUGUAUAUUCAUGGGAAUGCUCACCUUUCACAUUGAAAAGUUGGAUGAAAUUAGACAAGGUGCUUUAUUUUAAACGCGGGCCUUAACUGUGAAAUUAACAAGUGGAAGUCUCACGCCGCUCAUAAUUUGUUCAAGUUUGUUUCUUUUACAACAGAAUGUUGCUUCGAUUAAAAUGAUGCAGUGCCUUGGUUGGAGUUACAGAGCGGUGCAGUUUUUAAUUCAGUACAAUGAUUUUGUUUUUUUUAAAGUCAAUAGUUGUCCUGACGACCUGUGAGUUGGGAGGACUUGGAAAAGAAUCAUUAAAGAUGAAUGAGAGAAAUCGCGUUUAUAACUGUGAUGAUUCUUGUCCCCAUCCUGCCUGUUCAAAACUAAAAGGCUAAAAUAAGUUAGGAAUCACUUCCCUACGAGCGAGGUUUGCCGAUUUUUUUUAAAAAUGUAGGUGAUUAGAUUACGACGCUUUCUCCAAAUCGUACAUAAACCUUUCUUUGUGUGUGAAUGGCUGAAGAGGGCUUAUUUUAGCAUUAUUUAAGUGACAAUGACUCAAUAUCACUUCAGUUGCCUUGGGGUUAUUUGCAAUAGACUUGUUAAAAAUAAGUUUAAAAACCAAAACGGUCGCUUGAGCUCAGUAUUUGUGCUUAAUACGUAAUCUGCAUUUAGACUCCAUAUGGAUGUAAUGUAGAUUUCCUAUUUAAAUACGAGAUAAAUAGGAUCCGAUAGAAAUCCGAUAGAAAGCGAGAGCACUGGUAAAGACUGAAAGUGGACAGUGUGACCUCGUAGCAGUUUAAUGGUAUCAGUGUCAAACUCCUCCGAAGGGAACAGCUGCAGGAAGGCGGACGCCGUGCCGUCAGUUAAACGCGGAUUGUCUGAACCUUUCGGGUUUGUCCUGGGUUAGCCCUGAGAUUCUCUGUUACAUAGAGUUCAAUAAAAUAUCGAGCAAACUGGGAUGGGGAGAUCAUUUGAGAAUCAAUGAUCACGGAAGGUUGGUAACACCGCGGGGAUCUGUGAGCAUGCACUGCAGUUGGCCAAUGAUGUGAUUCUUGACCAUUAGACGUCCCCAAGGGGAUCGUUUUGAGAAACUCUCUCAUCCUUCUCAUUGAGCGGAUCAACUCAGACAAUGUGGCGCAUUGGUGAUUUGUUCUUGCCAUAUUUCCCUAAGUACUCACAAAUAUCAAAAAUUCGAGUGAUACAGAAUUCCGAGCGUUAAUAUGCCCUUGUUAAUUAUAUAGAUUUUUUAAAGAACGCAUGAAAUGCAGGAAUUUCACGAUUGAAAUGCAACAAUGAAAUGCAGGGAUUUUCGCACAGAGCAGCCAUAUGUAUCUUUUUCGGUUUCGACUUACAAGUUUUGUGCUUUGGAAAGCUUGUUCGCUUUCUUUUGUAUAACAUAUAUCUAUUUCUGACGAUUGGCCACUGAAGGUUUGCACUGGCCCCUUCUUCCAAUGCACCCUCUGACAAAGAGAGCUUGCAAGGUCAUGUGACCCCGUGGCAGGGCACAGUGGGAACUGAGACAGAGGGUCCCAAGUCCCUUGCCAGCCGAGAUUCGCUGGACACUGAGGGAUCUUGGGAUUUGUAGUCUGUCAAAUGAAAGCGGACGUCAUUGGCAGCCACAAGAAUUUGACACACUAACUUAUUAGCAGUCAUUGGAGUGAAAAGCGGGGCGGAUUCGAUGCCACAUUUACAGGAUAAAUAGCAGGCCUGGGGAGGUUUUCUUAAAAUUGGUGACUUAAUUAUGAAACAAAAGUGACAUUCCGAGAUAAUAUCGCCAGGAAACAAAACAUGAAAGCAGCUCGUUCUCACAAUUAAACGUGCGAUAUGAUUUAAAUUGACCGUAUUUUAAUUGAACGAUUUCCCCGCAGACACCUGGAAGCUCUCUGCUAUACAUCUCUAAGGAUUGGCAUCAAUCGGUGAAGAUCUACUGAGCAUGGAUUUGUCUUUUAAUCGUCAGAGAUCCACUGGUAACGAUCCGCUGCUGGUUUCAGACCCUGCAAUCUCUCAUCAGAUCCAUUCUAAUCCCUGCUCAUCGAUUUGUACGUUUUCACCUCAUUCUGCACUGAAUCCCUUCAGCUCAAAGUCAAUCAGUCUUUCACAGUUCCCCCCGAAAUCUCAUUGCUGAUAAUCUACAAAUCGUGACCAACACUAAUCUGCUGGCAGUUUUUUCGAAGGCUUCCAAACAUUUACGCGUCCCCAAUGCAUGCAACCAGAGUAUUUAUUUCUGGACUGGACAUUUUUUUGAUUUUAUGGUGCAUUGAGAAUGUCACCGAUGUCACAAAUAGUAGCAUUCAAACACGCAUACAGUGAAUACAUGUACAAACUUAUCAGCAAAACCAACAAAAACUGAGCAUUGAGGCGGAACACUCGUUUGCAUAUUUAAGUGUGUGAAAAGUGUAUGUCGUUUUGAUAGAGAAUUAAUACCACGUUAGCAACUUUUUAAAAAUGUAGAAUUUUGCUUUUUGUGGAACAUUUUAAUCCUGUUAAACUGCUCAUCUUUAACUCGUUGUUUCCUUGGCCGGUGUACAACUAUUUUGUCAAGUUGGUUGCUAGGCCAGUCAUAUUUCCCAGCUACUGGACAGGUUAUUCUGCCCAGUUGUUGUACCAUUUAUUCUGCCCAGUUGUACCGGUUAUUCUGCCGAGUUGCUAUACCAGUUAUUUUGCCCAGUUGUUGGGCCGGUUAUUCUGCUCAAUUGCAAGGACAAUACAAAGCCGUGACUACACGUAAUUACUCAGCGACCUAGAUUAACACAUACGAAUCAGUCAAGUACUUAUUUUGGACUUCAGAAACUUUAAUUUGCGAAACUGCUAAACUCUAGCGUCAACCGGACUACAGAACUGAAAAUAGCUGAGAGCACCAUAUAUUCUGCAUCUUGAAACUACCCUUCGAAAGAUCAUCUGACGUUGAACCUGUUCGAGGUAGAGCGAUCUGGACUUGUGAACGAGGACUAUUCCUCUGCUCUGCCUUUGAGGUUGCUUUAUGACUUUGUGCUAAAGAGAUAGUCCGACCAACAGCCUUGUCACUCUGCCCGUUCAAUCGAGCUGCCGCAUUGGCAGAACAGAGGUACUGUUAGAGCUACCGUCAUUGCAAAGUGCAGUCCCCAUCAGGCAAGUGGUAACUGAAUGUUUAUGACCAACUCGACAAACCGCACUAUCCAAAUAUUGUUCAGAUGGCGCAAACCCAAUAGAUUGGUAACUAUGCAUGUUUUUAUUUAAUAAAUCAUGUGUUGUUUCUUGGCUUCCCCCCCCAUUCUCCAUCACAAUUUCAAACUGAAUUUAAAAUUAACCUGUCUCUUGAUGACAGAUUUAUAAAAACUGCUUUGUAGACGUGUUGCAAGUGACAUCUAUCGCCUUCUUAUAUACUCUAUAUAAUAAAAAAGAAUCAAUUUAACAUCUGCGAUUGACAAAUAGUCCUUUCAACGCAAACCAAGUUAUUACAGCCUAAACUUUGCAUUCAACAGCAGGGGGCAGCAAUGCGACCGAACACGGUUGUGGUCGUAUUCAAAACUGUAUUAGAACGAACAAUGGCUGAGGUGAGCGGGCUGCUGGUUGGUGAAUAACUGGUCUUUAAACGACGGAUCCUGAGAUUGAACCAAGCAUGGAUUGACGGGUCGGAAGUGCCGCUUAGGUGAGUAUGAACUUCCUUCUUGGAAUGAUUGUCAACAGAUUCAGGCUGAUUCUUAGUGUCUUCAAAACCAUAGCAAAUACUCUCCAUUGAUUGGGCCCCAAGUCGAAAAUCUCUCUGUAAGGGUAUGAAAGAUGGCGCCUUUGAUGACGAGGUGGUCAGACUGGUUUAAUAAUAACACGAACAUCCUUCAUUUGAUUAGAACCGAAAAAAAAGUCCGAAUGUGUCAGGAUCCUUCGCGUAAAACACACCACCUACUGUAUCAUAUUUUAGAGAUGUAAUGUUUUGACAAAACAUGUUGAAAAUAAAAAAAUGCUGAUGAGAAAAACAAUGCUAAUGUAUUGAUUUAACGUGAAAUGACUCAAACUAGUGUCUGUAUUGAUUUUUACUGGUCAUUUGCAGAUGAAUCGAAAGUAACUAGGUUACUGGUGAAUAUAUCAAAUGUUUGAGCACUGCU